UAAUACGUAGGGGGCAAGCGUUGUCCGGAUUUAUUGGGCGUAAAGCGCGCGCAGGUGGUGAAUUAAGUUGUGGGUAAAAGGCAUUGGCUCAACCAAUGUAAGCCUGCAAAACUGGUUCACUUGAGUGCAGGAGAGGGGAGUGGAAUUCCCGGUGUAGCGGUGGAAUGCGUAGAUAUCGGGAGGAACACCAGUGGCGAAGGCGACUCUCUGGCCUGUAACUGACACUGAGGCGCGAAAGCGUGGGGAGCGAACAGGAUUAGAUACCCUGGUAGUCCACGCCGUAAACGAUGAGUGCUAGGUGUUGGGGGCAUCACGUCCUCAGUGCCGAAGGAAACCCAUUAAGCACUCCGCCUGGGGAGUACGACCGCAAGGUUG
Molecule: ribosomal RNA, 375 nt
Filed under: uncultured bacterium
Lineage: Bacteria
Description: bacterial SSU rRNA
Rfam family: Bacterial small subunit ribosomal RNA
Source: RNAcentral